UGGUGCAGAGAGGAGGACCCGCAGACUGCAGCUCCCUCUGCCCCCUUGGCCUCCUGCCCGCCCCUUACCUGACUUCCUGUUUCCCUUGUUGAAGGAGGAGCCAAGGAAGGUGUGCUUCACCUAUGACCUGUACCUGAACCUGGAGGGCAACUCGCCAGUCAGCCACCUCCGUUGUGAGAAACUGACCUUCAACAACCCCACCUUCGAGUUCCAGCGCAAGCUGCUGAGGGCAGGGGCGAGAUGACACCUUCUGGCCAGAAGGAAAACGGGCAGCGCUGGAGGUCAGAUACCGCUCAGACUUCCCGUGGCCAGAGCACUGCUUUCACGACUUUGAUCACCACAGCCGGGGCCAGUACCAGGACCACAUGGCCGACAGGAGGGAAGGUUCCAGGUCAGUGAUGGGCGAGGGAGUUGGGCAGGUGAGUAAACCAAGGUGUCGCUCCCAGGUGGGGGGUGCUAGUGGGUGGCCUAUGUCCUUGGUGGUGUGUGCUGGAGAGCCAGUCACUCAGUCAUGGGCUCAGGGGCACGGAAAUGUCCCUUCCGACCAGCAGUUAAAAGUGCUGGUGUUUGAUUGCUCUGAUUUUUGAGUCUGUGUUUUUCAAGUACAUGGGGGUCAUUGUUGCUUAAUUAUAUCCAGUAGGAACUGCAAGUAUCUAUUGGUUGCCCCUGCUUAACAUGCCUUUUACUCCAGGUACUGCAGGGGUGCCCCAGAGCCCCCCCAAUAGUACCUCCACAGUCAGCUGGUGAGAGGUAUGGGUAUUUAUCCAGUCCAGCUUUGGGGGUUCCUUCUGUUUCUGGCUCUUUACUGGGCCCUGGGAAUAUGAAGGCCACAAAAGCAGCCCCUGAGUUUGGUCAUCUGCGGUGCCCUGGGAGUUGGGUGUAGGGCAUUGGCAUGGGGGAAGGGGGAGAAGGGAUGGCCUCCCCAGUAAAGGCAGGGGACAGGCAUCAGAACAGUGGCUUUUCCAGUUGUUGGGGUAUUUUUUGCAAGAUUGUCGCAGGAGAUCAUCGCAGAUCUCCUGAUGCCUGGGCCUCUUGGGUUCCCGCGUCUGUGCUUGGCUGGGGAGGGGUAGAUACUCCUGUGUUUGCUUCUGGGUGUUGGGUAGUGAGCGAGGCCUGUGCCUUCCCUCCCCACAAAGACCCGCCCAAAGUCUGUGAUGGAGAUGGGGAGGGGGUAUCCUGAGAGGGCCGGAGGACACAGCAUCAUGAAGAGUAAAGAGAGAGACACCUCCCCCCAGGAGUGCCCUUUGUCCUUGGAGAGGAGGAGGCAUAUGGCUAUGGAGGAAAGCCAGGUCUUGGUCACUGUUUUCUUAAUGACCCUAAACAGGGCCAUUGAGCCCCAGAGAGGACAGGGCUGUUAAUACUCAAUGGCAGGCCAGAGGGGUGUCCACGGAUGGGUCCCCAUGAGUACGUCGAGAGGGAGACACAGCUUUUGGCACACUCAGACUCUUGAGCGAGCAGGAUGUUGGGGGUCAGGGGCUCCACAGAAGUGCCUGUCACUGUCCAGGCGGGAGCAGAGCAGCAGUGACUUUGGAGCUCCCCAGAGGCCUGCUCAGGAUCCAUGGUUAGAGUGCCCCCUGUCCCCCUUGUGCCUUCCAGCACUACUCUGACGAG
Molecule: long non-coding RNA, 1611 nt
Organism: Loxodonta africana (African savanna elephant)
Lineage: Eukaryota; Metazoa; Chordata; Mammalia; Proboscidea; Elephantidae
Exons: 3
Source: RefSeq, a predicted model, not a curated record